Non-coding RNA from Triticum aestivum (bread wheat), 115 nucleotides. Lineage: Eukaryota; Viridiplantae; Streptophyta; Magnoliopsida; Poales; Poaceae. The record is from Rfam.
UUCCUACUCCCUCCGUUUUAAAUUACUCAUCGCUGAAAUGGAUGUAUCUAGAACUAAAAUACAUCUAGAUACAUCCAUAUAUGCGACAAGUAAUUCAAAACGGAGGGAAUACAUG